UGGGUAGUCCGCACGAGCGCACCUUGCCCUAUGUUGCCAGCGAGUAUGUCGGGGACUCAUGGGGGACUGCCGGUGAUAAACCGGAGGAAGGUGGGGACGACGUCAAGUCAUCAUGGCCCUUACGCCUGGGGCUACACACGUGCUACAAUGGCCAACACAAAGGGCUGCCGACCUGCGAAGGUGAGCGAAUCCCAAAAAGUUGGUCUAAGUUCGGAUUGCAGUCUGCAACUCGACUGCAUGAAGUCGGAAUCGCUAGUAAUCGUAGAUCAGCCACGCUACGGUGAAUACGUUCCCGGGCCUUGUACACACCGCCCGUCACGCCAUGGAAGCCGGGAGUGCCCGAAGUCCGUAUCCUAACCCUCGGGAAGGAGCGGCCGAAGGCAAAUUCGGUAACUGGGGCGAAGUCGUAACAAGGUAGCCGUAGGGGAACCUGCGGCUGGAUCACCUCCUUUCU
This 454-nucleotide ribosomal RNA is filed under the name uncultured bacterium. RNAcentral's name for it is "bacterial SSU rRNA". It matches the Rfam family "Bacterial small subunit ribosomal RNA", at positions 1077 to 1533 of the family's 1533-position model. The record is from RNAcentral.